This 28-nucleotide small RNA is filed under the name Bombyx mori (domestic silkworm). RNAcentral's name for it is "ovarian small RNA-28271". The record is from RNAcentral. Lineage: Eukaryota; Metazoa; Arthropoda; Insecta; Lepidoptera; Bombycidae.
UCGACAAAUAAGAUGCGCCGGCGACAUG